AAUCAACGCUGGCGGCGUGCCUCAGACAUGCAAGUCGAACGCGAAAGUUUCCUUCGGGGAACAAGUAGAGUGGCGCACGGGUGAGUAACACGUAGGUAAUCUACCUUCGGAUGGGGAAUAACAAUCGGAAACGGUUGCUAAUACCGCAUAAUGCAGCGGCACCUAAUGGUGACAGUUGUUAAAGCGGGGGAUCGAAAGACCUCGCGUCUGAAGAGGAGCCUGCGGCGGAUUAGCUAGUUGGUAAGGUAACGGCUUACCAAGGCUACGAUCCGUANCCGGCCUGAGAGGGCGGUCGGCCACACUGACACUGACAUACGGGUCAGACUCCUACGGGAGGCAGCAGUCGGGAAUUUUGGGCAAUGGGCGAAAGCCUGACCCAGCAACGCCGCGUGAAGG
RNAcentral lists this ribosomal RNA (396 nucleotides) under uncultured bacterium. RNAcentral describes it as "bacterial SSU rRNA". It matches the Rfam family "Bacterial small subunit ribosomal RNA", at positions 32 to 407 of the family's 1533-position model. The record is from RNAcentral.